AACAACUUUAUUCGGAUUCCUUAUAUAAAUGUGGUGAUAUGGUCCACAAGUUUCUACCUAGCUACCGUAAAUGGCUAGACUAUAAGGAAAGACUAGUAGAUG
This 102-nucleotide non-coding RNA is filed under the name Pontibacillus halophilus. RNAcentral describes it as "Guanine sequence". It matches the Rfam family "Purine riboswitch aptamer". From Rfam's summary of the family: Riboswitches are metabolite binding domains within certain messenger RNAs that serve as precision sensors for their corresponding targets. Allosteric rearrangement of mRNA structure is mediated by ligand binding, and this results in modulation of gene expression. The record is from RNAcentral. RNAcentral also lists the same sequence under 1 other name. Lineage: Bacteria; Bacillati; Bacillota; Bacilli; Caryophanales; Bacillaceae.